Molecule: long non-coding RNA, 321 nt
Filed under: Mustela putorius furo (domestic ferret)
Lineage: Eukaryota; Metazoa; Chordata; Mammalia; Carnivora; Mustelidae
Description: lncRNA (ENSMPUG00000023892.1)
Source: RNAcentral
AGAAUUUUCCCCAAAGAGAAAGCUGCAAUUUUUCCUUUAAUCUCCCAAUGCUGCUAGGACCAGGCUAGCUGCAUUCUUGAAUAUUGUCACCAUUUCUGUUGGCCUCCUUGGAAUAUCAGAAAUAAUUUUAAACUCAUGGUCAUUCAUCAAGAGAGAAAGAGAGAGAGAAUGCAUAAGGAGGGGAAGCUGUAGAAGGAGAAGCAGGCUCCCUGCCUGAUGCAGAGCUGGAUCCUGGGUUCUCGAGAUCAUGACCCGUGCCACAGGAUGAUGCUUAACUAACUGAGCCAUCCAGGUGCACCGAGUUCUUAUAGUUCUUAUCAC